This is a non-coding RNA of Paramuricea clavata, 72 nucleotides long. The record is from the annotation of a GenBank genome assembly. Lineage: Eukaryota; Metazoa; Cnidaria; Anthozoa; Malacalcyonacea; Plexauridae.
AUCGGUAGCUCAGUUGGUUAGAGCGCUGCACCUGAAUCGCAGGGCCGCAGGCUCGAUUCUUGCCAAAGGGUA